CGCUGUUAUUGAUAGUCCUACUGAGAGUGUAACUGUUUGAACCUCUGGCCGGCGCCCCGCACCGUGAGGAUCGUGGCACGAAUAUUGUGGACAAGAAGAGAUGCUUUGGACCUGCGCAUUGCCCUCAUAAAAAAGAGGGCUCAAACAUAUACUAAAAGUUGUCAACGACAAGCUUUGACAUCAGCCUGAUGGUACUUCAAUGGUCAGCUCUUUCUACAGUAAACCAGGUAUAGGUGCAUUCACACCAUGUUGUAUUGACCAUUAUUAUGAGAUUCCAGCUUGUAAAAAAGUACUCUCGUAGAACUCGUAAUUGCAACCUGUAAACUGAGAACUUUCUGAGAGCUCCUACUUUUACCACAUGACCUUGUAUGACAUAGGGUAUGACAUGACAGGGUGUACUGCUGAUGAUUAAUUUAGAUAAUUUAGAUGAUGAUAAAUUUCCCAGUCAAAGAACAUGAAUUUUGUCAUCUAGGAAUUACAGUAAUACGACUUGGCAUGAAUGCAGCAUAUGACUUUGAGUAGGCUAU
Molecule: long non-coding RNA, 527 nt
Organism: Pimephales promelas (fathead minnow)
Lineage: Eukaryota; Metazoa; Chordata; Actinopteri; Cypriniformes; Leuciscidae
Source: RefSeq, a predicted model, not a curated record